GAUUGUUCAGUUCAUGAUUUAUAAAUUAAGUCUUUUUUGAAAGGCCAGUAAAAAAACACUCUUACGAGUGCAUUACAGCCAUUAGUCUUUCCCAGACAUCCUGAUCCUGUUUAGGAAAACCAUCCAGUUUCAUUGGUCAGUCUCGCCUCUGGAGUCCAUCGUUAAGCCUUGAAGUAAGCUAAGCUUUAAUCGAAUACCUUCUAUAUGCUUGCCAUAAGAGAAGAACCUUUUACCUUCCCAGCCGAUCGUUUAUGGUUCCUUUUAGUACUACUUCUAUUGCUAGGUCAGCCAGUGAGAGGUCUGUUACAGCCCGACCAGUCUCCCUAUAAGUUACGUCUUUGGGAGAAAGCUUCCAUUCAUUGUGCCUUUCCCUUCAGCCAGUUUCG
RNAcentral lists this unclassified non-coding RNA (386 nucleotides) under Hevea brasiliensis (rubber tree). The record is from RNAcentral. Lineage: Eukaryota; Viridiplantae; Streptophyta; Magnoliopsida; Malpighiales; Euphorbiaceae.